RNAcentral lists this ribosomal RNA (301 nucleotides) under uncultured bacterium. RNAcentral's name for it is "partial 16S ribosomal RNA". It matches the Rfam family "Bacterial small subunit ribosomal RNA", at positions 509 to 807 of the family's 1533-position model. The record is from RNAcentral.
CAGUAGCCGCGGGAAUACGUAGGGUGCAAGCGUUAAUCGGAAUUACUGGGCGUAAAGCGUGCGCAGGCGGUUGUGUAAGACAGGUGUGAAAUCCCCGGGCUUAACCUGGGAACUGCGCUUGUGACUGCACAGCUAGAGUAUGGCAGAGGGGGGUGGAAUUCCACGUGUAGCAGUGAAAUGCGUAGAGAUGUGGAGGAACACCGAUGGCGAAGGCAGCCCCCUGGGCCAAUACUGACGCUCAUGCACGAAAGCGUGGGGAGCAAACAGGAUUAGAUACCCGCGUAGUCCCUGUCUCUUAUAC